AAAUGGACUCUCAGCACGGAUAUCUUGGCUCUUG
Molecule: ribosomal RNA, 34 nt
Filed under: Frullania fertilis
Lineage: Eukaryota; Viridiplantae; Streptophyta; Jungermanniopsida; Porellales; Frullaniaceae
Description: partial 5.8S ribosomal RNA
Source: RNAcentral